RNAcentral lists this ribosomal RNA (758 nucleotides) under Acinetobacter sp. INBio2577J. Its description in RNAcentral is "bacterial SSU rRNA". It matches the Rfam family "Bacterial small subunit ribosomal RNA", at positions 41 to 792 of the family's 1533-position model. Lineage: Bacteria; Pseudomonadati; Pseudomonadota; Gammaproteobacteria; Moraxellales; Moraxellaceae. The record is from RNAcentral.
UGCGCGGCUUAACACAUGCAAGUCGAGCGGAGAGAGGUAGCUUGCUACUGAUCUUAGCGGCGGACGGGUGAGUAAUGCUUAGGAAUCUGCCUAUUAGUGGGGGACAACAUUUCGAAAGGAAUGCUAAUACCGCAUACGUCCUACGGGAGAAAGCAGGGGAUCUUCGGACCUUGCGCUAAUAGAUGAGCCUAAGUCGGAUUAGCUAGUUGGUGGGGUAAAGGCCUACCAAGGCGACGAUCUGUAGCGGGUCUGAGAGGAUGAUCCGCCACACUGGGACUGAGACACGGCCCAGACUCCUACGGGAGGCAGCAGUGGGGAAUAUUGGACAAUGGGCGCAAGCCUGAUCCAGCCAUGCCGCGUGUGUGAAGAAGGCCUUAUGGUUGUAAAGCACUUUAAGCGAGGAGGAGGCUACUUUAGAUAAUACCUAGAGAUAGUGGACGUUACUCGCAGAAUAAGCACCGGCUAACUCUGUGCCAGCAGCCGCGGUAAUACAGAGGGUGCAAGCGUUAAUCGGAUUUACUGGGCGUAAAGCGCGCGUAGGCGGCUAAUUAAGUCAAAUGUGAAAUCCCCGAGCUUAACUUGGGAAUUGCAUUCGAUACUGGUUAGCUAGAGUGUGGGAGAGGAUGGUAGAAUUCCAGGUGUAGCGGUGAAAUGCGUAGAGAUCUGGAGGAAUACCGAUGGCGAAGGCAGCCAUCUGGCCUAACACUGACGCUGAGGUGCGAAAGCAUGGGGAGCAAACAGGAUUAGAUACCCUGGUA